CCUACGGGUGACAGCAGUGGGGGAUAUUGCUCAAUGGGGGAAACCCUGAUCCAGCGACGCCGCGUGAGUGAAGAAGUAUCUCGGUAUGUUAAGCUCUUUUAGCAGGGAAGAAAAUGACAGUACCUGACCAAGAAGCCCCGGCUAACUACGUGCAAGCAGCCGUGGUAAGACGGAGGGGGCAAGCGUUAUCCGGAUUUACUGGGUGUAAAGGGAGCGUAGACGGUUUUGUAAGUCUGGAGUGAAAGCCCGGGGCCCAACCCCGGGACUGCUUUUGAAACUGUGUAACUGGAGUACAGGAGGGGCAGGCGGAAUUCGUGGUGUAGCGGUGAAAUGCGUAGAUAUCAGGAAGAACACCGACGGCGAAGGCAGCCUGCUGGACUGAAACUGACGUUGAGGCUCGAAAGCGUGGGUAGCAAACAGGAUUAGAUACCCUGGUAGUC
RNAcentral lists this ribosomal RNA (440 nucleotides) under uncultured bacterium. RNAcentral describes it as "partial 16S ribosomal RNA". It matches the Rfam family "Bacterial small subunit ribosomal RNA", at positions 338 to 795 of the family's 1533-position model. The record is from RNAcentral.